RNAcentral lists this long non-coding RNA (2230 nucleotides) under Ananas comosus (pineapple). RNAcentral describes it as "long non-coding RNA (ACOM_LNC035435)". Lineage: Eukaryota; Viridiplantae; Streptophyta; Magnoliopsida; Poales; Bromeliaceae. The record is from RNAcentral.
AUUUAAAUUAUAGAAAUUUUAGAAAUAGUUCUAUUUCUAAAUACAUUAAAUUUAAAUAUUAAAUAUUAAAUAUUUAAAAUUAAAAAAUUAAAAUUUAAUUUAGAAAAAUUGUAGUAUCCUUGAUGUCCUGCAGCCGUAAGAUUUCAGCAUCUGAGGCUUGUCGACACAUCUGGAGAGUGUCGGGACAAGUCGGAGUCGUUUUGGCCUGAAAUAAAUGCAAAACAGACUCAGUGCGACGCGAGAGCAGAGUUUUAACAUUGGAAUAUGCAAAGUGCAGGUUUUCAGUGUUGGGUACCGGUACCCCAGUGUAUUUUCAAACUGACUGCUCUCGGGUUGCGCCUGAUGCUGAGUACCGGUACGACAUCGGGCUGGUAUCGGUACCCUGUGUGCGAGCUUGCGGGUUGAGAGGCCAUUUGAGUUGGUAAAGGAUAUUAUAGUCUUUAUUGAGUUGGUGAGGGGCGGAAUGGUCUUUUUGGUUGUUGAUAAGCUUGCCACCUACUCCCUCGUUUCAACUUGGUAUGAGGAUAAUUAUUCUUACUCUCUCUCUCUAGUUAAUGGUGUGCGUAGUAGAGGCCUCGGGUGGAGUUCGGAUCGACGUAAACUUUGUACCGGUGAGCCGUUCGAGCGUGGACGUUACGGUUGCACCGUUGGAGGCCGGGCAAGCGCGUGUUUUUCUCUCUUUUCGACUUCUCGCCGUAGUUGGACGAGCGUUUUGAGGUGGGUUGAAAUUUACCGAAAUUAUCGGAAUAUUUUCUAAAUUUUAGUAUUUGUCGAUAUGUAUCAUUCGUCUAUUUUUCUUGCUAGUACUCGAAUUCAUGGAUUAAUGUUUAAAUCUGAAUUUGGAGUUAAGCUAGUAGUUUAAUUUUAUAUGUUGGACUUGAAAUUGACUUAGGAGAAAACAUAUAGAUUCUAUACUGUCACUUUCUGAAAAAUUAUCAGAUUUAACUUCUGAAGCUGUUGCGCCUUAUAUCCACGCUGUUAGUGCGCAUUUGAUACUCAGAUAACUUCUAAAGUUGUUGCGCUUUGUAUCCACGCUAUUAGUGCGAAUUUGAUACUCGGAUAGCAUCUGAAGCUGUUGCGCUUUGUAUCCACGCUGUUAGUGCGCAUUUGAUACUUGGAUAGCUUUAGGCACUGUGGGUCAUUUGUAUCGCCGCUGUUUGUAUACGGUGGAUACCCAGAUUAGCGUAGGAUGAGUUUACGCUCGUGCUGAGAUGACGAGCUUAUUUUACAGUAGUGUGUAGAUUGUUUCGGACUGUCGGGUGCCGUCGCGGUUGACGGUGGAAUCAGAUUGCUGUUUUUGCAUCAGAUUGUACCAAUGGCACUUGAGCUUUAGUUGUUAGACUAAUUAGACCCAUUUACUUUAAUUAUAAUCUGUGAAAGCCUGAUUGAGCUCGACAGAGACAUACUUGCAUACUCGGUUGGGUAGCGCCCACGAGUGCACUCCGAAGUCGGACUUUGUGUAUUUGCGUAGAUGUCGUAGUGUCCAGUGUGGACUUGCUCUUCACCAAUUACCCAGCGUGGUGGUGGUUAGUGUAGCUUCGGCAGGCGAGACGGAUGAGUUCACAGUCCCUAGUGAGAUUGAGUCAGAGAUUGCAUCUUGCUUAUAUUUACAGAUAGCUAGUGUUGGUUAGCGAUAGUAUAGUGGUAUAUACCUGUAGAGUUUUUCCAGCUUCCUUUACUAUUCUUGAGCAUACUUUCUAUAGACUUAGUGGGUGUGCCGUUGAGGUCGAUAGCGGUACCCACUGAGGACUACUUCUUUUUGUAAUAGUUCUCAUACCCAGUUGUUGAACCCUUUUUGCAGAGCCUUCGUCCGCGGCUGCUACUGUUGUUGAUUUGGAUCGUGAAAAGGGAGUCGCGAGCUAGAUCCCUUUCAGCCUUGUUACUGUUCUAGAGGAGUACCAGCUACAGGUAGUUUUGGUUUUUGGUUCAUGUACAUACUGAUAUUAGAUACUCGUUGAAGCGAGUAAUGUUUGUAUCUUGGAGACUAUGUAUGUAUAGUGAACCUGAUGUUUAUCUAUAUGUAUUUACAGUUCUAUUAGCAGCUCUAUACUACUAGUUGUAGUUUUGUAUGAUUACAUGUACAAGUACAGCUAUCGUUUCGUAUACAGAGAAAAUUCUUUUGUAUAUGAUGGGUCUGUUGGCGUGCCCGAAGAAACGUGGUAAUCCGGAGCAUGACAAAAAUUUUGUAUUACUAUUUAAAAAAUUUGUAAUGUUGAUAAAUAUUUUAAUU